This is an RNA transcript of Passer montanus (Eurasian tree sparrow), 3608 nucleotides long. It is a transcript of the gene named TAFA chemokine like family member 2, with no coding region annotated. The record is from RefSeq and is a predicted model, not a curated record. NCBI's taxonomy places the organism in Eukaryota, Metazoa, Chordata, Aves, Passeriformes, Passeridae. The transcript has 6 exons.
GCUGCCGGCUGAGCCCCGCUGCUCGGUCACACAGAACGGCGGCCGCCGGGACCUGCUCCCUCGUAAGGGCUGGGGAGGAGAGCAGCGAGUGGCCGGAUAAAUACGGGGGAGGAGAAGGGCGUCUCUCCUCUCCCCACCUCCCUCCAUCUCCUCCCUCCCCCCCGCCGCGGAGGGCGCGCUUGGAACUGCCUCUGUCUGUCCGGGCGCCCGGGGCGUCUCCGCGCCCUUCCGCGGUGCGGUGCGCGCAGGCUGGGUGCGGGAGGCGGCUGAAGGUGAAGCUCUCGCUCUCCAAUUACUUUUCCCAAGACAGAGAAGGAGGCAGCAGGAGGGGGAAGUCGUGCUGUGUGUGGAAGGCACACCAAUCAGAGAUGCUCUAACGGAGGGACUGCUGCAGGACGCGCCGCUUCUCCUCCUUCCUCUGCCGGCGGGGCUGAACCGGGACCACGCGCAGCUGGCGUAGGGACCGGAGCCGUACUGGGCUGCAGGACUUAUCCAUCUCUGCUUUUGCAAUAGCUCGACCAUACUUCGACCUCUCUAUUUUUUUCCUUUUUUUUUUAAUACUCUGAAAUCGUGCACAAGAAACACUUCAAGUCUUCUCUCCAUUCCCAGUUACUUCACCCUUCCUCUAGCAUCUCUUAGCUGGAUUCCUGGUGUAUUCCCAGAGAGGCGGGGUGAGAGAGCCGGGCCCCGCGGACGGCUGCUGCCCCAGCCCGGCCGAGCCGAGGGGAGCCGGGCGGAGCGCGGCACGGCGCCGCUCCAUGCCCCCGAGCGCUGGCGGGGCGCGGGGCGUGUGCCGGCGAUGCCCGGGCGGUAAGGCUGGAGCUCCCCCCGGACGGGAGGCGGCCGAUCGCUAGGCAUUUCUAGCAAGAAUCGGGACUGCAGGAUGAAUAAGAGAUACUUACAGAAAGCAACAAAAGGAAAACUGCUAAUAAUAAUAUUUGUCGUAACACUGUGGGGGAAAUUAGCAUCUGGGGCAAAUCAUCAUAAAGCUCACCAUGUUAAAACUGGGACCUGUGAAGUGGUGGCGCUUCACAGAUGCUGCAAUAAGAAUAAGAUAGAAGAAAGAUCACAGACAGUGAAGUGUUCCUGCUUCCCUGGGCAGGUAGCAGGUACCACCCGGGCAGCUCCUUCUUGUGUUGAUGCUUCAAUAGUGGAGCAGAAAUGGUGGUGCCACAUGCAACCAUGUCUUGAAGGGGAGGAAUGUAAAGUUCUUCCAGAUCGUAAGGGAUGGAGCUGUUCCUCUGGGAAUAAAGUGAAAACAACUAGGGCAAACGUGUAAAACCCCUCAAGUCCGAAUGGAGAAGUAGAGAAAGGAGGUUUCUGCUGUGCCUGAUGACAAUUUUUCUUUUUUCCACACAUAAAAAAUAUUCUGGCUCCACGUUGGAGCACUAGUUGUGAUGAAUCCUAGUCUUGGUCGGAUUCUAAGGAAGGGCCAGAACGUUCGUUGAGGAAUAAAGAGUCAAACCACUCCAGAAAAUGUGUUCCAGCCCCGCUUUAUUGCUCGCAGAGCAGCAGGUAACCCGAUAGCUAAAGACAAAUCAAGCCAGUCUCAAGGCUGAUAACAUACAACACAUAGGAAUUUCAUUCCUCCAGGCAAUCCUUGAAGUGAAAUUUUAUACUGCUGGGGUGUAUCCUUCAGAAUCAAUUGUUUCAAUGAGAACCUGGCUUGCAAUCAGCAACAGCCUUGAGAUCAAAACUACUGGAAAGUUAUUUUGAACUUCUGUGUCACAAAUAUUUCAACUGAUUGAACUGUGUACACUUGUAAAAUUGCACUUGCUGAGGAAUUUGCAGCUGUAAUCAUGAGCUAAUAUUCUAAAGGUGCAGAAAAGCAGCAAACUUUUGGGUUCUCCAUUGCAAAUCAGUGGCUUUUCAUCUUGAAGUCAAACUCUGAAAUGUAUUGGAUCCUUCACUCUAAAAUGAUCCUUGGUGCACUGUUCAGAUUGCUGGCGGGACUGCACACUGCUUUAAUUAAAUUUCUGUUGCAGAAAUUGUCCUCGAGCAUGGCGCAGUUUUAGACAUUUUUGUGUUCUAAUCUUGCAGGUCUUAAAGCUACAUAUUUCAACAUCUUGAAGUUGCUUUGUUAUAGGAAUGGAAUUAUAUAACCAUUGCUAAUAAUUAUUGUUGACAAAUAAUAGUUAUCUGAAUACAUCAGUCAUAUUAGAAUGUAUAGUCAGGUUGACAUGUUUCCCUAAGGCUAACCAACUACUGCAGUUUAACAGUUAAAGAAAGUAGUGGUCAAAACUCAAUUACUACUUCCAUCAUAAGGCAUUUUAUAUCUUUAAUAUAUAUAUUUCCAUUUAGUUUGAGGGAAAUGAGUGUUCCCAAUAUGUACUUUACUUUCUUAACCUUUGAUUCAUUUAAAUUCAUGGUAAACAGUCAAUUCCACUAUUUCAUCCCUUUUAUACAAAAGUAGGCAGGGAUGUAAAUGAGUUUUGCAGUUAUGAUAUUGGAUGGUAAUCAUUCAGAAUUUUUGUCUUUUUAUUAAAAAAAAUAUCUCUUGCUUGAACUUAAAUACUGAUGGAUGCUUAUGUAGAUGUUUGCUCAGUCUGUGUGACAUAAAGGAAAAAAGUCCUAGCACUCUCCCAGUUUUACACUUCAUGGAUAUUUUGCCUGCGUACAGUCAUCCAAUUCAGAUCUGUUUUGUUUUGUUAGAAAGUUUUGAACUUUUCAGUGUGUUGUUACAUGAAAAAAAUCCUCAAUAUUUGAAGGCCUUAAGCAUCUUUGAGAUUUUUUCUAAGUUAUUACAGAAUGUAUAAUUUUAUACUCCAUUUAAUGUAUAUUGGACCAUCUGUAAUGUUGAUACAAAAGAAAUUUGGCAAUUCCUUUUAGUGACACUGCAUAAACACACUGACUAGAGGGAGUUCUGACUGUAUGCUUUGGUGAAUUGAAAUGAAAGCCACACGCACUUAAUGGUAGUCAAAAAUACAUAGAGAUAAGCUUGUUUAAGUCCUGUGUGGUUACCAAACACAGCAAAAAACCCCAAAAAAUAGAAAAAAAAAGAAAAAAGGAAUAGAAUGAAAUGGUUUAAUCAUUGUAAGCCAUUGACAUGGCUAGUUUAGUUAUAUAUUAAGUUUUGUGAUGGAUGAACACCUUGGCAAGCUCUGCCUGUCACUGUAGCCCCCGCUGUUCCAAAACCAUUUCAUUACUGCUGCUGUAUUAUUGCACGGGAGAGCUUAAAUAAAAUAAAUGACUUUUGGGAAUAAAACUGAGAAGUAUAUUCUAUCAUUUUGCUAGGAAAUAAUAAGAAAUAUGUUGACAGAAAAAGAUCUUAUUUUCUGAUUAAAAUUUAAUUAGAAUAAACUGUUUGUAGCAGAAACGAAGUCUCUUGGUAUUUUAGGAUGGAUUAGUAUUAUAUGGAUUUGUGCUAAGAGGUUCAGGAUGGAAGGUAGCAUCUUAAAGAGGUUGUCUGGGACAGUGCAAAGCAUAAAUGUGCUGUUUUGUAAAAUUUAAAUAUUACCUCUAUUUGGUUGAAAAUCUACAUCAUGCUUCUCAAUACUAGUUUUCUUUGUUUCCUUGUUCUUAAACAGCGCUGAAAAUAAUGUAUUAUAUACAAGUGUAACACAUGCAUACCAAUAAAUGAAAAUAAAUGGAUUUUCAAAUAUACUGAA